RNAcentral lists this ribosomal RNA (900 nucleotides) under CFB group bacterium epibiont of Rimicaris exoculata. RNAcentral's name for it is "bacterial SSU rRNA". It matches the Rfam family "Bacterial small subunit ribosomal RNA", at positions 133 to 1034 of the family's 1533-position model. Lineage: Bacteria; Pseudomonadati. The record is from RNAcentral.
UUAAGAGGGAUAGCCCGAAGAAAUUCGGAUUAAUACCUCAUAAUAUUGAUAUUUGGCAUCAAAUAUUAAUUAAAGUUUCGGCGGUAAAAGAUGGGCAUGCGUUUUAUUAGUUAGUUGGUAAGGUAACGGCUUACCAAGACUACGAUAAAUAGGGGUCCUGAGAGGGAGAUCCCCCACACUGGUACUGAGACACGGACCAGACUCCUACGGGAGGCAGCAGUGAGGAAUAUUGGACAAUGGGCGAGAGCCUGAUCCAGCCAUGCCGCGUGCAGGAAGACGGCCCUAUGGGUUGUAAACUGCUUUUAUACAGGAAGAAACCACCUUACGUGUAGGGUGCUGACGGUACUGUAAGAAUAAGCACCGGCUAACUCCGUGCCAGCAGCCGCGGUAAUACGGAGGGUGCAAGCGUUAUCCGGAAUCAUUGGGUUUAAAGGGUCCGUAGGCGGAUUAUUAAGUCAGAGGUGAAAUCCCACAGCUUAACUGUGGAACUGCCUUUGAUACUGGUAGUCUUGAGUUAUAUGGAAGUAGAUAGAAUGUGUAGUGUAGCGGUGAAAUGCAUAGAUAUUACACAGAAUACCGAUUGCGAAGGCAGUCUACUACGUAUAUACUGACGCUAAUGGACGAAAGCGUGGGGAGCGAACAGGAUUAGAUACCCUGGUAGUCCACGCCGUAAACGAUGGACACUAGUUGUUGGGAUUUAUCUCAGUGACUAAGCGAAAGUGAUAAGUGUCCCACCUGGGGAGUACGGUCGCAAGAUUGAAACUCAAAGGAAUUGACGGGGGCCCGCACAAGCGGUGGAGCAUGUGGUUUAAUUUCGAUGAUACGCGAGGAAACCUUACCAGGGCUUUAAAUGUAAGUUGCAUGAUUUAGAGAUAGAUCUUUGCUUCCGACUACCUUACA